Molecule: ribosomal RNA, 332 nt
Filed under: uncultured bacterium
Lineage: Bacteria
Description: bacterial SSU rRNA
Rfam family: Bacterial small subunit ribosomal RNA
Source: RNAcentral
GGCGUAGGCGGCCUGUCAAGUCGGAUGUGAAAUCUCCCGGCUUAACUGGGAGGGUGCAUUCGAAACUGAUGGGCUAGAGUGCAGCAGAGGGAGGUGGAAUUCCCGGUGUAGUGGUGAAAUGCGUAGAUAUCGGGAAGAACACUAGUGGCGAAGGCGGCCUCCUGGGCUGUAACUGACGCUGAGGUCCGAAGGCGUGGGGAGCAAACAGGAUUAGAUACCCUGGUAGUCCACGCAGUAAACGAUGGAUACUAGGUAUGGGGAGUAUCGACCCUCUCUGUGCCGAAGCUAACGCUUUAAGUAUCCCGCCUGGGGAGUACGGUCGCAAGACUAAA